RNAcentral lists this ribosomal RNA (1914 nucleotides) under Triticum aestivum (bread wheat). Its description in RNAcentral is "partial small subunit ribosomal RNA". Lineage: Eukaryota; Viridiplantae; Streptophyta; Magnoliopsida; Poales; Poaceae. The record is from RNAcentral.
GCACCCCAAAAAGUGCACACAGGAUAACCCCGCACGUCCGAUCAGAUCCAUUAAGUUGCAUCCAACAGUCCACGAUACAUCCAUUAUACUACAGUCAGAUCUACGGCUGAAAACAAAUGUUCUGCCGGCAGACUCCAAGUUCAGGAUGCUACACAGCCCCCAACGAUGACACCUCAAGGGAAUUAACGUGGACUCCGCGAUCAAAGCCGCCGCCACACCAGGAACCUCCACGAUCAACGCCGGCAUCACGCCACAAACCUCGCCUCCGCCAGCCGCCCCGCCGCGCCUCUGGUGUCCGCGACAUCCUCGACCCGCCUUGCUGCCUUACCUCUCCUGGCUCCUGGUGUCCGCGACGUCCUCCACCCGCCUUGCUGUCGUACCUCUCCUCGCCACGCCGCCCUCGCCCUGUCCGCGACGUCCUCGACCCGGUGGACGUCCUCAACCUGGCGCGCUGCCCUACCUCCGGUGUCAUCACCCUGUGUGGCCCCACGGCAUCUCGAGACCUGCCAGUGCACAGGUUAGAUCAAUUUAAUUUGCACAUCUUAUGAUCUGACAGAAGACAAAGGAAAUUGCUCUUUUAAUAUGACAGCAUGUAAUUUGUACUUUCAAAACUAAUACUUACAGUACAUUAUGAACAAACUGAGUUGACAAAGGGUUGAAUAAGUGUUUCACAAAAAAGAAAAGUUGAGAAGACAAUAUGGCAUCCUCUCAGCGUAGUGGGGUACGUACUCCCUUUCAGGACCUGACCAACAACAGCAAUUCAGGUAAAUACAUAAGCUGCGACUCUUACCUACUUAGGUUUGUAAAUCCAGAAGAAUAUGUCAUUGUCUCGCAGGUCAAAAAGCAGAUCCAAAAGAGCUGAAGAGACAGAGGGAAAGGGAGAGGUAUGCACUAAACAGGGAUGCAAUAUUAAAGAAAAGACAAGAGGCAAGGGAUCGUAAGAAAGCUGCGGCUGCUAUUCUAAAUGAAAUCAACACUCCAUCUAAGCCAUCCGGGGCCAUGUCGCCUGGUUACUCCAUUUUCUCUAUUUUUAUCAUACAUUGAUGAAUCUCAAGUAAAUCAUAUCAAUUAAGUGUUCUUUUGGGCAGGUUUUGACACGGUGGAGAGGCCCACUGCGCAGUCUGCUCUCACCCAGCAACGACACACACCAGCUGCAGAAGGUCAUGUGUUCUCCUACAUCCAACCAUAAUACCGGCAUUUGUGUGUCAACAACUGACAUUGUUCAUACAAUUAUGAUGCAGGCAUACCUGUUGAUGUCAUAAUGAGUGAUCGGACUCCACUUCCUGGUCUGAAUUCAUUAGGAACACCAUAUACUGCUGUUUCUAACAAGGAAAAUGUCAAUAAUAUCGACUCUGCCAACAUCGACUCUGCCAUUGGGUCCUCCCAACUGACUGUGUUACGACCACCACUUCAAUCCUACAGAGGCAGCAGUUCAUAUGCUAAUGAAGAUUGUGAUUGGCUACACACAAAUGAUACGUACCAGAGACAAAGCUUUGGAACAAGGAUGAGGCCAGACAACAUACUCACUGCGCCGUCAUGUGGACACAAUCCCGUCGACAAAUAUAAUGGUGCUUUAAUUGACUACUGCUUGGUUCAUACUUUAAUUACGGAGGGUCCACAAAACAUGCUUCUUGAUGCUGUGAUAACCAACGAUGGAGAUACAAUCCCCGAAUCGACAGAGCUACCGAGCGAUGACGAAUCAAGUGAAAUACUCAACAAUAAUGAAGUGGAGGAAAAUAAUUGCACGGAGAGCCCAGAAUAUACACCAAUCCUUGAAGAAAACAUAGCAAAAAGAGAGGCCAAAGAUUCUGAACAUACACAGAAAUUAACCCACAACGAAACAAGUCAACAAAUUGUGGUGGCUGAGGACGAGGAAUUGGCCCAUCAAUGAACUGCAAGGACCUCACUGAUACG